Molecule: long non-coding RNA, 4305 nt
Organism: Apodemus sylvaticus (European woodmouse)
Lineage: Eukaryota; Metazoa; Chordata; Mammalia; Rodentia; Muridae
Exons: 11
Source: RefSeq, a predicted model, not a curated record
CAAGGAAAUAAUCCAAAAUGACAAAAAUAGGUGCAAAGGAUUCUGUGAAAAUUUCAGUGGGGUAAGAGGACCACCUAAAAGCCCGGGAUGGGCCGACCCUCCCGAGAAGGAAGGCUACCCAUGGGAGAGAUCUAAGAGUUCUCGGGGAAUCCUGAAGUUAGGGUCACUCUCGCCCCAGAAAAGGAAGCUGUUGUUUGGGGAUGGUGACUAAAAGUCCUCACAAUACACACGGAACUAAAAAUAUCUCUCUCCUUGGCACUGGGUCCUAACACGAUCCGCAGAGCCUGGCUUCAGCGUCCAUACACCACACAGGGUCCUACUGCGAGGGCUGGCCUCGGGCUCCAGCCCAGUCCUUUUUGUCUCCCCCCUGAUCAUUCCCACUUGUUUUAUACCAGGACAGGAGUCAUGUCUCUAGCGUGUCUUUCUUGGCUUUUCCACCAACCAUUCUAUGGAAAUUAGGCCUUCGGCUAAGUUCUACUGUUACUGUCUGUACGACUUUAGCAGGGUUGACUCUACUGGCUCUGACAGGCUCCCUCCACUGAAUUCUGAUCACCGCCAUGUCUUUUUUUCAGAUAUACUAAAAAAGCCAAAAUCAAUUAGUGUCAGAAACACGAACAAAGGCUGCCAAUGAGCACAGGAUCGUGGUGGGACGAGGGAGGCCGAGCCGUGGGCCCAGACUUGACAUCCCCAUCAGAGCUCUCCUAACGAAACUUCACACGUGUUUUGAAGCUUCAGAGUUUCUACGAGGCCAAGCAAGUGAAAAUACACUUCUGACGAAGAAGACCACCUCAGUCUUCCCUUCCAGGAAGCUAACAGCCACAGGGCAAAAAGCAUCAUGACAGGAGCACGGCGUUUCCAGAGAGCACCUACCUAAACUGACGGUGGCUUUCAAUGUUUCUGGAACCUUCUGUUCUAGAAGUGGCAACAUGAGCACCCUUAAGCAGUGAGCAGCAUCCGGAAGAGUUAAGGACACCUAUGCAGUGUUGACUGGAGCUUCAUCAAGGACCACUACACUUGACUAUUGGUAGCUGUGGAGCAGUUACAAUCGUCUCAGGAUUUGUAGUAAGAUAUUGCUUGAAAGAAUCAAUUCAUCUUGCCACCUAUAAAGUGAUGUGCAGGAAGACUCCCGCCACUUGUCAGCAGGACUUGGCUCUCAGUGAAGAGAUGAUGUUUAUGAAAAUCUAACUGUUCUGUUAAAGAGAGUGAUUUCUACAUUUGGCAUUUGAAAGGAAGCCUGGAGGCUGGAGUGACAAUGCCACCAUGUUUCCUGAGCACAGAGGACAGCUUUGCAAAGACACUGUCUGGAAGUGGACCACACGGGCUUUUUAGGAUUGAAUUCUGAGUAGAGAUGUUUUAAUGAAUGGUAUCUUGGUUAUGUAGGCCGACUUACUGCAGCAGGUUAUUAAAUAAUACAUGAAGACAAUGGCUCAUGAAAUAUAGACAGCUCUGAGGUUUGUGUACAAGUGACAUAGAAGCAUGGCGUGAGCCUUGGGAGAGUCCUUCCCACUGACUUGAUAUAUUAUAUGUAGCCAUCUUCUGGGACCUGCCAGCCUUGGAGAAGAAGAAGAACAGGAUACUACAAGCCUCAAACACUGUCUUAGAGCCGAUAGAGAUCAGAUUGCUGGGGAACAAUAAAGAUGGAUAAAGCUCACUUUUCCAUUUUGAACAUAUGAGUUAUCCCCACCUCCACAGGAAAAUCAUAUUUCAAGAACACUGACUUACCAAGACACCAGUCUUCUUGUCUUCAUUUGCAUGUUAACAGUGGCGUACAGACUUCCAUCCUGGCACCUGUCUCCAACAUUGCUUUGGAUUCAAUAUACACAGGAAUUUGGAUUUCAGUUUUCUGAUCUGGGUGUCUUCUAUCUAGUUUAAGAGCUGGUAAACUCCAUUUCCAUCUUGACCCUCAUGAACUGGAUGAAGAAAAGUCAGUGCAGCAGGUAGCACCUCCUCCCACCCCUGCCAACCAACCCCGGCUGUAGUUGAAAGAACAUGAAACCUAGUGACUCAAUCCAGAGGUUAUGAUCUGGUGGCCAUCACUAUUUUUCCAGGUAUAUUGAGCCAUAGUUGAAGUUUGCCAAACAAAAACAAAAACAAGCAAGGACUGAAACAGAAAGAGUUCCACUAACUGCGUUGAGGUGUUGGUGCAGAGGGCAGUAUGAAGAGCGGCCAGCUCCCUGGGCAGUGCCAAGCCUCGAGAACGUGGACACCCAAAGGCAACAAAGGAGACCAGAACUUUUUGCUUGGAUGAAAAGAUAGGAAGUCCCGAGGAAAAGACAUGUUUAAAGAGCCUGAUUGUGCAGAUGUAAUUUUGGGGGCUCUUUAAGGAUUUGUAUGGUGACCGUGAACUCUGAGCCGUGUAAAAUGUCAAAGUGCUCACCCUCUCCCACAGGAGAAUAAUUCCAACAAAGGAAAUAUACAAAGAGUGGCUUCAGAGUGUUGGUGAAACAUGAGGCCGUACCACUGCCCCUCCUUGAAGGGACAAGGAAGUCAGCUCAGCUUGGCCAGUGGGAGUGAAGUAAAGCAUCAAGGGAAAUGUCCCUACAUCCCCGUUGUCGGCGCUCCUUCUUAGGAGAGCAGGGAUCUGACUUCUCUGCUUUUAAAGCCUUCUUGCAUUGAGUUGCUUCUAUCUCAGGCUGCUUUGAAAAAAAUUUUUUUCUGCUUUCAAAAUACUAUUUUGAUCUUUCUCCUCUGCCUGACCCAGUGAUAGCCACAGUUUUUAACUUUCCUCUUUGGAACUGGAUGGGACAGUGUAUUUAUUUAUUUUAUUUUGCAAGAUGCCCAGCUUUCAAAAUCAUGUAAUUCAACAAAACCCGAUCUCCUUUCUUUAGAUGUGUAUUUCUACAUCUGGUAGGUCAAGCUAAACCAGUGUCUCCUGACAGGAUGUUGCUUGACUCCUGUCCAGGCUGAAGUACUUAAAAAAUGCCAGGCACUACAACAAUUUUAAAUCUCUCUCUACACUGCACAUGGCUAUUUAAAAUAAUUGAAGCUCUUCAAAUUUUUAUAUGCGUUCAAAUUUGGAAGUCAUUGGUUCUGAGCAUGUGCAGGACACAAUGAUUUAAGGUUAUUAGAGUCUCCUCAAUUUAUGCUGAGUGUUUCAGCUUGAGUCUGACAGGGGAACCUGAACUGGGGCAUUUACAAGUGAUUUAACAUUGUCAUUACACUCAGAUGUUGUGCAGGUGAUCAGAAUUAUGGACACUUGUUUACUUUUUGAGAAAAGCACUGUAAAAAUGACAGAUUUUUUUCCAGUUCAAACGAUAUUAUUAGCCCACCAGAAAACACUUAAAUUAACCACUUAACGUGCACCAUAACCCAAUUUUACUUUCACUGUCAUAGUUUCCACCAAUGACCUGAUUAGAACUACAACUGUAAAGCCAUAUGAGCAUUUGGCUUGGUAAAGAGCUGUUCCCUUCGAGAGCACGCAAGGAGAAAUAAGACUUCAGUAAAACACCUGAUGCACUCUGAUGAUGUCCCAGAGUCUGUAGUAGUUUACCCUUGGAGAGGAAGUAGGUUUUACUCUGAAUACAGAGAUUUUUGAAUGAUUGCAUUUCACACACAGUUUAAGGUUUAAUUUCAAUGUCUUAAAUACGUACUUUUAUUAAUUAUGUUUUCACAUGAAAAAGUUGUACUAUACUAUCUUUAGUUGAAAUACAUCUUAAUUUUUAAUGUCUUCUUUGAUCUGGAGGGCUCUAAAACAAAUGCAAGGGUAGAUAGUUUGGACGUACACCAGCUGGAAUUCUCAGAUGAUUUACUUGGUCACUUGAUGGCCCUUUAAUAUUCCUUGGGGGUCUUUUACCAAAAGACAUUCUCUGAACAGGAACACUGAAAUUCUACUGACUAUCUUGAUGCCAAGUCUCUGACAUGGAAGGUGGAUUUAUGGCUUAAUAGCUAAUAUUAUAUAACAACAAAAAAUCUAGUCAUUAAGAAGUCUGCUAAAUCUACUAUGUUCAUAGCAGCCCUAUUUAUAAUUGCCAGAUGCUGGAAAGAACCCAGGUAUCCCUCAACAGAAGAAUGGAUGCAAAAAAUGUGGUAUAUCUACACAAUGGAGUACUAUUCAGCCAUUAGAAACAAUGAAUUCAUGAAAUUCUUAGGCAAAUGGAUGGAGCUAGAGAACAUCAUACUAAGUGAGGUAACCCAGACUCAAAAGGUGAAUCAUGGUAUGCACUCACUAAUAAGUGGAUAUUAACCUAGAAAACUGGAAUACCCAAAACAUAAUCCACACAUCAAAUGAGGUACAAGAAGAAAGGAGGAGUGGCCCCUGGUUCUGGAAAGACUCAGUGAAGCAGUAUUCAGCAAAACCAGAACGGG